RNAcentral lists this ribosomal RNA (440 nucleotides) under uncultured bacterium. RNAcentral's name for it is "partial 16S ribosomal RNA". It matches the Rfam family "Bacterial small subunit ribosomal RNA", at positions 338 to 795 of the family's 1533-position model. The record is from RNAcentral.
CCUACGGGAGGCAGCAGUGGGGAAUAUUGCACAAUGGGGGAAACCCUGAUGCAGCGACGCCGCGUGAGUGAAGAAGUAUUUCGGUAUGUAAAGCUCUAUCAGCAGGGAAGAAAAUGACGGUACCUGAGUAAGAAGCCCCGGCUAACUACGUGCCAGCAGCCGCGGUAAUACGUAGGGGGCAAGCGUUAUCCGGAUUUACUGGGUGUAAAGGGAGCGUAGACGGCAGCACAAGUCUGGAGUGAAAGGCCGGGGCUUAACCCCGGAACUGCUUUGGAAACUGUGCGGCUAGAGUGCAGGAGAGGUAAGUGGAAUUCCUAGUGUAGCGGUGAAAUGCAUAGAUAUCACGAGGAACCCCGAUUGCGAAGGCAGCCUACCGGAGUGCGACUGACGCUGAGGCUCGAAGGUGCGGGUAUCAAACAGGAUUAGAUACCCUUGUAGUC